UACGUAGGGUGCGAGCGUUAAUCGGAAUUACUGGGCGUAAAGCGCGUGUAGGCGGGUCGGCAAGUCAGGCGUGAAAUCCCCAGGCUCAACCUGGGAACUGCGCUUGAAACUGCCGGUCUUGAGUAUCGGAGAGGGUGGCGGAAUUCCUGGUGUAGAGGUGAAAUUCGUAGAUAUCAGGAGGAACACCGGUGGCGAAGGCGGCCACCUGGACGAUAACUGACGCUGAGACGCGAAAGCGUGGGGAGCAAACAGG
RNAcentral lists this ribosomal RNA (253 nucleotides) under uncultured bacterium. RNAcentral's name for it is "partial 16S ribosomal RNA". It matches the Rfam family "Bacterial small subunit ribosomal RNA", at positions 524 to 776 of the family's 1533-position model. The record is from RNAcentral.